This 28-nucleotide non-coding RNA is filed under the name Cricetulus griseus (Chinese hamster). The record is from RNAcentral. Lineage: Eukaryota; Metazoa; Chordata; Mammalia; Rodentia; Cricetidae.
AACUUAUCUUCAGUGUCUUCUGUAGAGG